UUAUGGAGGAUAUAAAUUGAUUUGUGCAUUCAGCCCAGCCAGAGCCAACAUGAAGACAGCCACAGUCUUGGUUCUGGUGACUUUGAUUGCCAUGGAGAUGGACAAGGCCUGUGCUCUGUCUUCUCACGGAGGCAUCUGAUGAAGCAGUGCAGAGAACACAGGGAUGUCAGAAGGAAAAGGAUCCCUCGGGACGAACUAUGGCCUCCCAUCCACCAUGGUCAGCCUUCCAUAGCCAUGGAUAUAUUCCCAUAGUUUCAUUCCUUCCCCAAAGACCUGGAAACAUUGUCAUCAGUGCUAUACCCAUUUUCCUUAUGAUUCCAGACCAAUGGACACUUGAACUUCUCUGAUAUUUAACCCCCAAAUGAUUCUCACAAACUAAAUGUUUCCAUGGACUCAUGAUUAGUUCCUUGUAGUGCUUUUUGUUCAAAUAAUGUGUGUGCUUAUAAACCCAGAAAUAAAUUACCAAAUACCUU
Peromyscus maniculatus bairdii (prairie deer mouse) is the source of this 473-nucleotide non-coding RNA. The record is from RefSeq and is a predicted model, not a curated record. NCBI's taxonomy places the organism in Eukaryota, Metazoa, Chordata, Mammalia, Rodentia, Cricetidae.